AUAAGCAACCAGCUGAAAAGAGAAAAGUUUACUAAGUAGCAAGCCAAGCCACUGACUAAGUUUUCCAAGGUGAGGUUCAAGCCUCGCACUCUGUCUGUGCUGACCUCUGUAAUUCAGUCAAGUGCAGGGAACUCCACAGCAUAAUUUAUGGCAGCUGGGGACUGCAUUUGUACUCUACCCCGG
This 183-nucleotide small nuclear RNA is filed under the name Struthio camelus australis. RNAcentral describes it as "U1 spliceosomal RNA (ENSSCUG00000015622.1)". The stretch from base 25 to 183 matches the Rfam family "U1 spliceosomal RNA". From Rfam's summary of the family: U1 is a small nuclear RNA (snRNA) component of the spliceosome (involved in pre-mRNA splicing). Its 5' end forms complementary base pairs with the 5' splice junction, thus defining the 5' donor site of an intron. Lineage: Eukaryota; Metazoa; Chordata; Aves; Struthioniformes; Struthionidae. The record is from RNAcentral.